ACUCCUACGGGAGGCAGCAGUGGGGAAUCUUGCGCAAUGGGCGAAAGCCUGACGCAGCCAUGCCGCGUGGAUGAUGAAGGUCUUAGGAUUGUAAAAUCCUUUCACCGGGGACGAUAAUGACGGUACCCGGAGAAGAAGCCCCGGCUAACUUCGUGCCAGCAGCCGCGGUAAUACGAAGGGGGCUAGCGUUGCUCGGAAUUACUGGGGCGUAAAGGGCGCGUAGGCGGACAGUUAAGUUGGGGGUGAAAGCCCGGGGGCUCAACCUCGGAAAUGCCUUCAAUACUGGCUGUCUUGAGUACGGGAGAGGUGAGUGGAACUCCGAGUGUAGAGGUGAAAUUCGUAGAUAUUCGGAAGAACACCAGUGGCGAAGGCGACUCACUGGCCCGUUACUGACGCUGAGGCGCGAAAGCGUGGGGAGCAAACAGGAUUAGAUACCCUGGUAGGAUAGCG
RNAcentral lists this ribosomal RNA (450 nucleotides) under uncultured bacterium. Its description in RNAcentral is "bacterial SSU rRNA". It matches the Rfam family "Bacterial small subunit ribosomal RNA", at positions 335 to 799 of the family's 1533-position model. The record is from RNAcentral.